AUUGAACGCUGGCGGCAUGCCUUACACAUGCAGGUCGAACGGCAGCGGACCUUCGGGUGCUGGCGAGUGGCGAACGGGUGAGUAAUGCAUCGGAACGUGCCAUUGAGUGGGGGAUAACGUAGCGAAAGUUGCGCUAAUACCGCAUAUUCUGUGAGCAGGAAAGCAGGGGACCGCAAGGCCUUGCGCUCUUUGAGCGGCCGAUGUCAGAUUAGCUAGUUGGUGAGGUAACGGCUUACCAAGGCGACGAUCUGUAGCGGGUCUGAGAGGAUGAUCCGCCACACUGGAACUGAGACACGGUCCAGACUCCUACGGGAGGCAGCAGUGGGGAAUUUUGGACAAUGGGGGCAACCCUGAUCCAGCCAUGCCGCGUGAGUGAAGAAGGCCU
This 385-nucleotide ribosomal RNA is filed under the name uncultured bacterium. Its description in RNAcentral is "bacterial SSU rRNA". It matches the Rfam family "Bacterial small subunit ribosomal RNA", at positions 30 to 417 of the family's 1533-position model. The record is from RNAcentral.